GUGGCCUACGUGAUCAGCUCUAGCGCACCUUGCAGAAUCAUUAAGAUAUACCCACUUGCAUUCUUGAUUCAGGGUCUGGCAGUUCGAACAUGAUCCAUUGCUUGUCGGUAAAUCGCAACGAAUCUAGCAAAGUUAAAUGUUACCGUCCAUGCAAGGAAUAACGGAGAACAUGCCUUUUUGAUGUGACAAUGCGUACAAGCCUUGGGCCCCUGCUGUUCGCAAGGCGUGCCAUGCAAGUCUCCAUCAUCUAUCUGUCAUGGGGGAUACUGCUCAGUGUCUCUACUUCUCUGUUACUUCGGCGGUCAUUGAAACAGGAGUUGAGUGAGAGCUAAAUAAUGUAGCUCUUGGUCUAUGUGGGGUUGAUUGAGUGGCUGGUCGUGUUUUACAACUUAAAUGCAAGGGCCCAUGAGUUGGUUACUUGGGGAUAUAUGAUUGUUAAUUGAUUGUUGAUAGCUCGACAAUUGAUGUGAGCGUAUAUAUAGUAUCUACCAAAUAUUGAUGUUUUGCAGGGGACAAAGAGGCUUCCCCACUCAACUCAUACUACUGAUCACUGCUGUUUCUUCAUUUAAAAAGGA
This 575-nucleotide small RNA is filed under the name Histoplasma capsulatum. RNAcentral's name for it is "hypothetical RNA". Lineage: Eukaryota; Fungi; Ascomycota; Eurotiomycetes; Onygenales; Ajellomycetaceae. The record is from RNAcentral. RNAcentral also lists the same sequence under 1 other name.